AAGUAAUUUCGAUGUUUUUUUUUUGAAAAAUCUCUGUAAUUCUUUCGGGUUUUUGAUUCCUUAGGAUUUUAGUUCAGAGUUUCAGAUUUCAUUUGAGCCGCACUGCAAUCGUUGAACUUGUUUGACUUUUUCCACAUGGGCUGCAAUAUAGAAAAUAAGACCAAAAAUUUGGUGUGCUUUUUAAACCCCAUUUUUACUAGGCUAGAGUUGGCGCAGGUGAUGAACGAAUCAUAUUCAGCAGUGAAAUCGCAUCUCAAUCCAAAGAAACCUUUCCGAACCUUCAAUUAAUUCGAUUUCUUCCAGAAGGAACAAACAUAACAGACUACGUAAAAUCUGUUGCUUCGGAAAUGCAUGGAAGCGUUCAACCGUAUGUGUUAUGCGUAAGGGGAAAGAAAAAAAGAUUCCUAUUUUAUUCAAGGAGACGGACAAUUUAUGCAACUAGAUGCAGACUCAAGUUUCAUUGUUGCGUUUGAUAUUCUUUUCAAGUUACAUUUUGUAACUAACGUAAAGUUUGCUGAUUUAUUGUACUUUUUUUACAACAUCCUUGAGUAUUUUGUAUACAAAACACAAUCAUCCGUUAAAGAUUCUGUUUCAUCUUUCCACACUACUUUGACCAAUUUUAAACCGUUUGAAAAUGAAAAU
Molecule: long non-coding RNA, 642 nt
Organism: Belonocnema kinseyi
Lineage: Eukaryota; Metazoa; Arthropoda; Insecta; Hymenoptera; Cynipidae
Exons: 3
Source: RefSeq, a predicted model, not a curated record